This 585-nucleotide ribosomal RNA is filed under the name uncultured Carnobacteriaceae bacterium. RNAcentral's name for it is "bacterial SSU rRNA". It matches the Rfam family "Bacterial small subunit ribosomal RNA", at positions 67 to 629 of the family's 1533-position model. The record is from RNAcentral. Lineage: Bacteria; Bacillati; Bacillota; Bacilli; Lactobacillales; Carnobacteriaceae.
CUUUUCUAUGGAAGCUUGCUUCCACUGAGAAGAUAGUGGCGGACGGGUGAGUAACACGUGGGUAACCUGCCCAUAAGAGGGGGAUAACAUCCGGAAACGGGUGCUAAUACCGCAUAGUUUUCUUGAUCGCAUGAUCGAGAAAGGAAAGACGGCCUUUGUGCUGUCGCAUAUGGAUGGACCCGCGGCGUAUUAGUUAGUUGGUGAGGUAACGGCUCACCAAGACGAUGAUACGUAGCCGACCUGAGAGGGUGAUCGGCCACAUUGGGACUGAGACACGGCCCAAACUCCUACGGGAGGCAGCAGUAGGGAAUCUUCCGCAAUGGACGAAAGUCUGACGGAGCAACGCCGCGUGAGUGAAGAAGGUUUUCGGAUCGUAAAACUCUGUUGUCAGAGAAGAACAAGUCGGAGAGUAACUGCUCCGGCCUUGACGGUAUCUGACCAGAAAGCCACGGCUAACUACGUGCCAGCAGCCGCGGUAAUACGUAGGUGGCAAGCGUUGUCCGGAUUUAUUGGGCGUAAAGCGAGCGCAGGCGGUUCCUUAAGUCUGAUGUGAAAGCCCACGGCUCAACCGUGGAAGGUCAUUGG